RNAcentral lists this ribosomal RNA (500 nucleotides) under uncultured bacterium. RNAcentral describes it as "partial 16S ribosomal RNA". It matches the Rfam family "Bacterial small subunit ribosomal RNA", at positions 30 to 523 of the family's 1533-position model. The record is from RNAcentral.
AUUGAACGCUGGCGGCAUGCCUUACACAUGCAAGUCGAACGGCAGCACGGGAGCAAUCCUGGUGGCGAGUGGCGAACGGGUGAGUAAUAUAUCGGAACGUGCCCAGUCGUGGGGGAUAACGUAGCGAAAGCUACGCUAAUACCGCAUACGAUCUAUGGACGAAAGCGGGGGAUCGCAAGACCUCGCGCGAUUGGAGCGGCCGAUAUCAGAUUAGGUAGUUGGUGAGGUAAAGGCUCACCAAGCCGACGAUCUGUAGCUGGUCUGAGAGGACGACCAGCCACACUGGGACUGAGACACGGCCCAGACUCCUACGGGAGGCAGCAGUGGGGAAUUUUGGACAAUGGGCGCAAGCCUGAUCCAGCAAUGCCGCGUGCAGGAUGAAGGCCUUCGGGUUGUAAACUGCUUUUGUACGGAACGAAACGGCGAGCUCUAAUACAGUUUGCUAAUGACGGUGCCGUAAGAAUAAGCACCGGCUAACUACGUGCCAGCAGCCGCGGUAA